GUCAGGAAUCUUGGAGUUAUCUUUGAUCAGGAUUUGUCAUUUAACUCCCACAUAAAGAAAACCUCUAGGACUGCCUUCUUUCAUUUACGUAAUAUUACAAAAAAUAGACACAUACUAUCACAGACAGAUGCAGAAAAACUAAUCCAUGCAUUUGUUACUUCAAGGCUGGAUUACUGCAACCCUUUAUUAUCAGGUUGCCCCAAUAAGUCCAUUAAAACGCUCCAAUUAAUUCAGAACGCUGCAGCACGAGUACUGACAGGAACUAGAAAAAGAGAUCACAUCUCUCCUGUACUAGCUUCUCUGCAUUGGCUCCCUGUAAAAUGUAGAAUAGAAUUUAAAAUCCUCCUCCUCACCUAUAAAGCUCUUCAUGGUCAGGCCCCUUCAUAUCUUAAAGAGCUCAUAGUACCAUAUUACCCCACUAGAACACUACGUUCUCUGAAUGCUGGGCUACUUGUGGUUCCUAUAGUCUCUAAAAGUAGAACAGGAGCCAGAGCCUUCAGUUACCAAGCUCCUCUCCUGUGGAACCAGCUUCCAGUUGCGGUUCGGGAGGCAGACACCCUCACCAUAUUCAAGAGUAGGCUUAAGACAUUCCUCUUUGAUAAAGCUUAUAGUUAGGGCUGGAUCAGAUGAGUCCUGAACCAUCCCUUAGUUAUGCUGCUAUAGGCCUAGACUAUCGGGGGAUUUCCCAUGGUGCACUGAGCUCCUCCCUUCCUCUCUCUUUCUGCACUCAUUCAUGUUCCAUUAAUGCAUGUUACUAACUUCACUUCUUCCCCAGAGUUCUUGUGCUUUCUCGUCUCGCAGGUUCUUAUCGAUCCUGGUGGAGCCUCCUGCCAUGGUCCUGCUAGAUUGCCAUUGCCAAUACUGUUGUUGCUGUGCACCUGUCUGUCUGUCUGUCUGUCUGUCUCUCUGUGUCUCUCUCUCU
Long non-coding RNA from Dicentrarchus labrax (European seabass), 922 nucleotides. RefSeq lists it as uncharacterized. NCBI's taxonomy places the organism in Eukaryota, Metazoa, Chordata, Actinopteri, Moronidae. The transcript has 3 exons. The record is from RefSeq and is a predicted model, not a curated record.